Molecule: transfer RNA, 87 nt
Organism: Puccinia graminis f. sp. tritici
Lineage: Eukaryota; Fungi; Basidiomycota; Pucciniomycetes; Pucciniales; Pucciniaceae
Rfam family: tRNA
About the family: Transfer RNA (tRNA) molecules are approximately 80 nucleotides in length. Their secondary structure includes four short double-helical elements and three loops (D, anti-codon, and T loops). Further hydrogen bonds mediate the characteristic L-shaped molecular structure. tRNAs have two regions of fundamental functional importance: the anti-codon, which is responsible for specific mRNA codon recognition, and the 3' end, to which the tRNAs corresponding amino acid is attached (by aminoacyl-tRNA synthetases). tRNAs cope with the degeneracy of the genetic code in two manners: having more than one tRNA (with a specific anti-codon) for a particular amino acid; and 'wobble' base-pairing, i.e. permitting non-standard base-pairing at the 3rd anti-codon position.
Source: Rfam
GUCUCCAUAGCUCAGUGGUUUAGAGCGGCCGCCUGCAGUUAUUAGCUGUAUAGCGGCAGGUCACGUGUUCAAAUCACGUUGGGGACU